UUUGGUUAAGUUAGAAAGGGCGCACGGUGGAUGCCUUGACACUAGGAGUCGAUGAAGGACGGGACUAACGCCGAUAUGCUUCGGGGAGCUGUAAGUAAGCUUUGAUCCGAAGAUUUCCGAAUGGGGAAACCCACCAUACGUAAUGGUAUGGUAUCCUUAUCUGAAUACAUAGGGUAAGGAAGACAGACCCAGGGAACUGAAACAUCUAAGUACCUGGAGGAAGAGAAAGCAAAUGCGAUUUCCUGAGUAGCGGCGAGCGAAACGGAACAUAGCCCAAACCAAGAGGCUUGCCUCUUGGGGUUGUAGGACAUUCUAUACGGAGUUACAAAGGAACGAGGUAGACGAAGCGACCUGGAAAGGUCCGUCGUAGAGGGUAACAACCCCGUAGUCGAAACUUCGUUCUCUCUUGAAUGUAUCCUGAGUACGGCGGAACACGUGAAAUUCCGUCGGAAUCUGGGAGGACCAUCUCCCAAGGCUAAAUACUCCCUAGUGAUCGAUAGUGAACCAGUACCGUGAGGGAAAGGUGAAAAGCACCCCGGAAGGGGAGUGAAAGAGAUCCUGAAACCGUGUGCCUACAAAUAGUCAGAGCCCGUUAACGGGUGAUGGCGUGCCUUUUGUAGAAUGAACCGGCGAGUUACGAUCCCGUGCGAGGUUAAGCUGAAGAGGCGGAGCCGCAGCGAAAGCGAGUCUGAAUAGGGCGUUUAGUACGUGGUCGUAGACCCGAAACCAGGUGAUCUACCCAUGUCCAGGGUGAAGUUCAGGUAACACUGAAUGGAGGCCCGAACCCACGCACGUUGAAAAGUGCGGGGAUGAGGUGUGGGUAGCGGAGAAAUUCCAAUCGAACCUGGAGAUAGCUGGUUCUCCCCGAAAUAGCUUUAGGGCUAGCCUUAAGUGUAAGAGUCUUGGAGGUAGAGCACUGAUUGGACUAGGGGUCCUCAUCGGAUUACCGAAUUCAGUCAAACUCCGAAUGCCAAUGACUUAUCCUUAGGAGUCAGACUGCGAGUGAUAAGAUCCGUAGUCAAAAGGGAAACAGCCCAGACCGCCAGCUAAGGUCCCAAAGUGUGUAUUAAGUGGAAAAGGAUGUGGAGUUGCUUAGACAACUAGGAUGUUGGCUUAGAAGCAGCCACCAUUUAAAGAGUGCGUAAUAGCUCACUAGUCGAGUGACUCUGCGCCGAAAAUGUACCGGGGCUAAAUACACCACCGAAGCUGCGGAUUGAUACCAAUGGUAUCAGUGGUAGGGGAGCGUUCUAAGGACAGUGAAGUCAGACCGUAAGGACUGGUGGAGUGCUUAGAAGUGAGAAUGCCGGUAUGAGUAGCGAAAGACGGGUGAGAAUCCCGUCCACCGAAUGCCUAAGGUUUCCUGAGGAAGGCUCGUCCGCUCAGGGUUAGUCAGGACCUAAGCCGAGGCCGACAGGCGUAGGCGAUGGACAACAGGUUGAUAUUCCUGUACCACCUCUUUAUCGUUUGAGCAAUGGAGGGACGCAGAAGGAUAGAAGAAGCGUGCGAUUGGUUGUGCACGUCCAAGCAGUUAGGCUGAUAAGUAGGCAAAUCCGCUUAUCAUAAAGGCUGAGCUGUGAUGGGGAAGCUCCUUAUGGAGCGAAGUCUUUGAUUCCCCGCUGCCAAGAAAAGCUUCUAGCGAGAUAAAAGGUGCCUGUACCGCAAACCGACACAGGUAGGCGAGGAGAGAAUCCUAAGGUGUGCGAGAGAACUCUGGUUAAGGAACUCGGCAAAAUGACCCCGUAACUUCGGGAGAAGGGGUGCUUUCUUAACGGAAAGCCGCAGUGAAUAGGCCCAAGCGACUGUUUAGCAAAAACACAGCUCUCUGCGAAGCCGUAAGGCGAAGUAUAGGGGGUGACACCUGCCCGGUGCUGGAAGGUUAAGGAGAGGGGUUAGCGUAAGCGAAGCUCUGAACUGAAGCCCCAGUAAACGGCGGCCGUAACUAUAACGGUCCUAAGGUAGCGAAAUUCCUUGUCGGGUAAGUUCCGACCCGCACGAAAGGUGUAACGAUUUGGGCACUGUCUCAACCAGAGACUCGGUGAAAUUAUAGUACCUGUGAAGAUGCAGGUUACCCGCGACAGGACGGAAAGACCCCGUGGAGCUUUACUGUAGCCUGAUAUUGAAUUUUGGUACAGUUUGUACAGGAUAGGCGGGAGCCAUUGAAACCGGAGCGCUAGCUUCGGUGGAGGCGCUGGUGGGAUACCGCCCUGACUGUAUUGAAAUUCUAACCUACGGGUCUUAUCGACCCGGGAGACAGUGUCAGGUGGGCAGUUUGACUGGGGCGGUCGCCUCCUAAAGUGUAACGGAGGCGCCCAAAGGUUCCCUCAGAAUGGUUGGAAAUCAUUCGUAGAGUGCAAAGGCAUAAGGGAGCUUGACUGCGAGACCUACAAGUCGAGCAGGGACGAAAGUCGGGCUUAGUGAUCCGGUGGUUCCGCAUGGAAGGGCCAUCGCUCAACGGAUAAAAGCUACCCCGGGGAUAACAGGCUUAUCUCCCCCAAGAGUCCACAUCGACGGGGAGGUUUGGCACCUCGAUGUCGGCUCAUCGCAUCCUGGGGCUGUAGUCGGUCCCAAGGGUUGGGCUGUUCGCCCAUUAAAGCGGUACGCGAGCUGGGUUCAGAACGUCGUGAGACAGUUCGGUCCCUAUCCGUCGUGGGCGUAGGAAAUUUGAGAGGAGCUGUCCUUAGUACGAGAGGACCGGGAUGGACGCACCGCUGGUGUACCAGUUGUUCUGCCAAGGGCAUAGCUGGGUAGCUAUGUGCGGAAGGGAUAAGUGCUGAAAGCAUCUAAGCAUGAAGCCCCCCUCAAGAUGAGAUUUCCCAUAGCGUAAGCUAGUAAGAUCCCUGAAAGAUGAUCAGGUUGAUAGGUUCGAGGUGGAAGCAUGGUGACAUGUGGAGCUGACGAAUACUAAUAGAUCGAGGACUUAACCAUAGAA
Molecule: ribosomal RNA, 2929 nt
Filed under: Bacillus cereus
Lineage: Bacteria; Bacillati; Bacillota; Bacilli; Caryophanales; Bacillaceae
Description: bacterial LSU rRNA
Rfam family: Bacterial large subunit ribosomal RNA
Source: RNAcentral